CGUCGAACACGACGAGUAGUCUUAACCCCCGGUGGCUGAAGCGGCUUUGCCCGCAGGGAGAUGCGAUGGCAGCGCGCCCGCGGAGGAAACCACCCAGGACGUCCACGGGCCGCCGGCUAACGCGAGCCCAGACUGGCAUCCUUUGAACAGCCGACCGUGCUUCUCCUUUGAGAAUCCUGCCCCGCUGGUUAAGUAGUUUCCUGCAGGAAAACCGUCUCCAGAAGUCCGCUCGGCGGCGAGCAGUGUGCGGGGACCACAGGCCCUGCUGCCGGCCCUCCUGUCGGCCGUCGCCCAGGGGCGUUGCACCCUCUCCAGGUCCAGGUUGGUCCGCAUCUGCACAGCCAGCUCUGGGAACUGAAGUAAGGCAAGACUUCCACACCUGUGGCAUCUCCUGUAACACUGACAGCGUCGCCUGGAGACUUCGUUUCGCAAGUCUUCAUCCUCCAGUAUCUGUUCUAUAGCAGACUGUGGUCUACGCCUUAGCAAGGUCGGUAUUGCUCUCUUCCCUUCCCUUCUGGGGAAGACUUGAUCGCUUUAGUAUCUUUCCAGGCCCUCUGUAAAAAUCACUGUUUCCACACCAUGUGUAGGGAAUGUUCACAUGUAACAGGAGUCAGUUUAUCUGCUUACUCCAUCUUUUAUUUUGCUUUGCUCAACUUGCUUCAGUUCUGUCUUAGGCUGCUUACACCUGUGGCUGACGUGCCAGCAAAAUGUGUUUCACGUUGUAUUUUUCAAUGAACUACAAACCUCGAUGGUUAAAAAGGCUGAUGUAUUCUAACGAGCCUUGCAGGCAGAAAUUUCCAGGAAAUCCAGCAGUGCUUAAGCUAAAGCUUUGAAAGUCUGUAGUCCCUGCCCUGGAUGGUCAUGAAUGCUUACGUAAGAUCAGAAGAGGGCUACCACCAGCUUUUUGUUUUGUUUUGUUUUGUUUUGUUUUUUAACACGAACAUACGACAGAACAAACCAGAAUGUACUUAACAUGGUACGCGAACACAUUAACAGGCUGUUCUUAUUAGCUGUUUGCAGGCCUAAAACACAGACGUUCAAGAUUAGGCUUCUCAUGACUUGGUGGUGCUACUCGGGGGUGUGGCUGAGCGCAAGUCCUCAGGACAGAUUCCCAGAUGGCGGGACAGAAGGUGCUGGGUCCUCGAGGGGAAGAGAGAAGGGCUGUUGCAGGUGCAGCCGAUGGAUUCUGGACGAUGGGUUCAGGUCAGUUUCACCACGGAGGGAUUCCGUAAGCUCAAAUCCCCCGCUGCAUACACCUAAUUAACAACACUGAUCAGUCCCUCAAUUUCUUCACAGCGGAGAUCAGUUCAAAUAUACAAGAAUCAUUCUGUCCGGUUCUAUCCUGACAUGGCGUUGCCAUCCAUCUGUGAGCUCAUUCCGCUCCAUCACAAUAUCUUUUAUAUGGAAUCCUUCGGGGACGUGAAGCCUUUGAUUCACAGUUUGCAGUACAAAUACCCUGAUACAUCAUUUAUUUGCUAUUAAGUAUUUGAUUAUUACGCCUUUUAAAA
Molecule: long non-coding RNA, 1508 nt
Organism: Camelus dromedarius (Arabian camel)
Lineage: Eukaryota; Metazoa; Chordata; Mammalia; Artiodactyla; Camelidae
Exons: 3
Source: RefSeq, a predicted model, not a curated record